This 497-nucleotide ribosomal RNA is filed under the name uncultured bacterium. RNAcentral describes it as "partial 16S ribosomal RNA". It matches the Rfam family "Bacterial small subunit ribosomal RNA", at positions 28 to 507 of the family's 1533-position model. The record is from RNAcentral.
GAUGAACGCUGGCGGCGUGCCUAAUACAUGCAAGUCGAGCGAACGGAUAAGGAGCUUGCUCCUUUGACGUUAGCGGCGGACGGGUGAGUAACACGUGGGUAACCCACCUAUAAGACUGGGAUAUCUUCGGGAAACCGGCGCUAAUACCGGAGAAUAUUUCGAACCGCAUGGUUCGAUAGUGAAAGAUGGUGUUGCUGGCACUUAUAGAUGGACCCGGGCCGUAUUAGCUGGUUGGUAAGCUAACGGCUUACCAAGGCGACGAUACGUAGCCGACGUGAGAGGGUGAUCGGCGACAUUGGAGCUGAGACGCGGACAAUGCUCCUGAGGGAGGCAGCAGUAGGGAAUCUGCCGCAAUGGGCGAAAGCAUGACGGAGCAACGCGGCGUGAGUGGUGAAGGUCUUCCGAGCGUAAAACUCUGUUAUUAGGGAAAAACAUACGUGUAAGGAACUGUGCACGUCUUGACGGUACCUGAUCAGAAAGCCACGGCUAACUACGUG